UUGCUGUGAUGACUAACUUAGGACACCUUUGGAAUAACCAUGAAAAGCUAUUCUGAGCAAC
Molecule: small nucleolar RNA, 61 nt
Organism: Cervus hanglu yarkandensis (Yarkand deer)
Lineage: Eukaryota; Metazoa; Chordata; Mammalia; Artiodactyla; Cervidae
Gene: SNORD58
Rfam family: Small nucleolar RNA SNORD58
About the family: snoRNA U58 is found in introns 1, 3 and 6 of the ribosomal protein RPL17 gene in humans. U58 is a member of the C/D class of snoRNA which contain C (UGAUGA) and D (CUGA) box motifs. Most of the members of the box C/D family function in directing site-specific 2'-O-methylation of substrate RNAs.
Source: Ensembl